Molecule: transfer RNA, 85 nt
Filed under: Hypsizygus marmoreus
Lineage: Eukaryota; Fungi; Basidiomycota; Agaricomycetes; Agaricales; Lyophyllaceae
Rfam family: tRNA
About the family: Transfer RNA (tRNA) molecules are approximately 80 nucleotides in length. Their secondary structure includes four short double-helical elements and three loops (D, anti-codon, and T loops).
Source: Rfam by way of RNAcentral
CCGACCUUAGCUCAGUUGGAAGAGCGCAAGACUGUAAUGGUUAAAGAACAUCUUGAUGUCGCCUGUUCGAGCCAGGCAGGUCGGA